UGAGAAACCUGUCCCGGUCUCUGGAAUAACAGUCGGAAACGACGUCUAAUGCCGAAUACGACCUCCUUUCACAUGAUCGGAGGUGGAAAGCUCCGGCGGAGAAGGAUGAGCUCGCGGCCUAUCAGCUAGUUGGUGUGGGUAACGGCCCACCAAGGCGACGACGGGUAGCCGGCCUGAGAGGGUGACCGGCCACACUGGGACUGAGACACGGCCCAGACCUCCGUACGGGAGGCAGCAGUGGGGUAA
Molecule: ribosomal RNA, 246 nt
Filed under: uncultured bacterium
Lineage: Bacteria
Description: partial 16S ribosomal RNA
Rfam family: Bacterial small subunit ribosomal RNA
Source: RNAcentral